AUUUAAUCGUUGAGAGGGACUAUUAGAGCGGUGCUGUUUUCAGAGACCACGUGACGCUGCAAACGUGGAGCAGUUACUUUUCGAACUCGUCCUCGAAGAUUUUUUACUGAAAUCAAGAGUAGGUAAAAACGUGGAUUCGCGUUACGGAUACUAAGAGCUACAUUUUGUAGAACAUGGGUGGUACCGCGGAGUCAUUCGUCCUGUAG
Molecule: non-coding RNA, 206 nt
Filed under: Paucilactobacillus vaccinostercus
Lineage: Bacteria; Bacillati; Bacillota; Bacilli; Lactobacillales; Lactobacillaceae
Description: Lactobacillus vaccinostercus T-box sequence
Rfam family: T-box leader
About the family: Uncharged tRNA acts as the effector for transcription antitermination of genes in the T-box leader family.
Source: RNAcentral